This 460-nucleotide ribosomal RNA is filed under the name uncultured bacterium. RNAcentral's name for it is "partial 16S ribosomal RNA". It matches the Rfam family "Bacterial small subunit ribosomal RNA", at positions 28 to 507 of the family's 1533-position model. The record is from RNAcentral.
GACGAACGCUGGCGGCGUGCUUAACACAUGCAAGUCGAGCGGUAAGGCCUCUUCGGGGGUACACGAGCGGCGAACGGGUGAGUAACACGUGGGUGACCUGCCCUCAGCUCUGGGAUAAGCCUGGGAAACUGGGUCUAAUACCGGAUAUGACCUUUCCUCGCAUGGGGUUUGGUGGAAAGUUUUUUCGGCUGGGGAUGGGCCCGCGGCCUAUCAGCUUGUUGGUGGGGUGAUGGCCUACCAAGGCGACGACGGGUAGCCGGCCUGAGAGGGCGACCGGCCACACUGGGACUGAGACACGGCCCAGACUCCUACGGGAGGCAGCAGUGGGGAAUAUCGCGCAAUGGGCGGAAGCCUGACGCAGCGACGCCGCGUGGGGGAUGACGGCCUUCGGGUUGGAAACCUCUUUCGACCCCGACGAAUUUGGACGGUAGGGGUAGAAGAAGCACCGGCCAACUACGUG